GACGAACGCUGGCGGCGUGCUUAACACAUGCCAGUCGAACGGAAAGGCCCUGCUUUUGUGGGGUACUCGAGUGGCGAACGGGUGAGUAACACGUGAGUAACCUGCCCUUGACUUUGGGAUAACUUCAGGAAACUGGGGCUAAUACCGGAUAGGAGCUCCUGCUGCAUGGUGGGGUUGGGAAGGUUCGGCGGGUGGGGAUGGAAUCGCGGCUUAUCAGCUUGUUGGUGGGGUAGUGGCUUACCAAGGCUUUGACGGGUAGCCGGCCUGAGAGGGUGACCGGCCACAUUGGGACUGAGAUACGGCCCAGACUCCUACGGGAGGCAGCAGUGGGGAAUAUUGCACAAUGGGCGGAAGCCUGAUGCAGCAACGCCGCGUGCGGGAUGACGGCCUUCGGGUUGUAAACCGCUUUCGCCUGUGACGAAGCGUGAGUGACGGUAAUGGGUAAAGAAGCACCGGCUAACUACGUG
RNAcentral lists this ribosomal RNA (467 nucleotides) under uncultured bacterium. Its description in RNAcentral is "partial 16S ribosomal RNA". It matches the Rfam family "Bacterial small subunit ribosomal RNA", at positions 28 to 507 of the family's 1533-position model. The record is from RNAcentral.